GAUGAACGCUAGCUACAGGCUUAACACAUGCAAGUCGCGGGGCAGCAUGGGGGUUGCUUGCAACCCCUGAUGGCGACCGGCGCACGGGUGAGUAACGCGUAUCCAACCUGCCCUUCACCACGGGAUAACCCGGCGAAAGUCGGACUAAUACCGUAUGUUGUCCAUUGACGGCAUCCGAUCUGGACGAAAGGCUUGGCGGCGAACGGACGGGGAUGCGUCCGAUUAGCUUGACGGCGGGGGAACGGCCCACCGUGGCUACGAUCGGUAGGGGUUCUGAGAGGAAGGGCCCCCACGCGGGAACUGAGACACGGUCCAGACGCCUACGGGAGGCAGCAGUGAGGAAUAUGAGGCAAUGGGCGUAAGCCUGAACCAGCCAAGUAGCGUGCAGGAUGCCGGCCCUAUGGGUUGUAAACUGCCGUUAUGCGGGGAUAAAGUGGCCCACGUGUGGGCUUUUGCAGGUACCGCAUGAAUAAGGACCGGCUAAUUCCGUG
RNAcentral lists this ribosomal RNA (491 nucleotides) under uncultured bacterium. RNAcentral describes it as "partial 16S ribosomal RNA". It matches the Rfam family "Bacterial small subunit ribosomal RNA", at positions 28 to 507 of the family's 1533-position model. The record is from RNAcentral.